This 234-nucleotide ribosomal RNA is filed under the name uncultured bacterium. Its description in RNAcentral is "partial 16S ribosomal RNA". It matches the Rfam family "Bacterial small subunit ribosomal RNA", at positions 118 to 347 of the family's 1533-position model. The record is from RNAcentral.
UGGGUAACCUGCCUCAAAGAGGGGAAUAGCCUCCCGAAAGGGAGAUUAAUACCGCAUAAUAUGUUUUGGUCGCAUGACUAGAACAUCAAAGGAGUAAUCCGCUUUGAGAUGGACCCGCGGCGCAUUAGCUAGUUGGUGAGGUAACGGCUCACCAAGGCGACGAUGCGUAGCCGACCUGAGAGGGUNAUCGGCCACAUUGGAACUGAGACACGGUCCAGACUCCUACGGGAGCAG